GGCACUUUGGCGGAGUGGUUAACGCGCGGGCCUGCUAAGCCCGUCUCUUCGGAGGCGCAGGUUCGAAUCCUGCAGGUGUCG
Molecule: transfer RNA, 81 nt
Filed under: Myriangium duriaei CBS 260.36
Lineage: Eukaryota; Fungi; Ascomycota; Dothideomycetes; Myriangiales; Myriangiaceae
Rfam family: tRNA
About the family: Transfer RNA (tRNA) molecules are approximately 80 nucleotides in length. Their secondary structure includes four short double-helical elements and three loops (D, anti-codon, and T loops).
Source: Rfam by way of RNAcentral